UCAGAAAUGUAGCUUAAUGGUAGAGCACUUGCCUAAUAUGCCUGAGGCCCUGGGUUCCAUCCCAGUACUGAG
This 72-nucleotide transfer RNA is filed under the name Marmota monax (woodchuck). RNAcentral describes it as "tRNA.Ile". It matches the Rfam family "tRNA". From Rfam's summary of the family: Transfer RNA (tRNA) molecules are approximately 80 nucleotides in length. Their secondary structure includes four short double-helical elements and three loops (D, anti-codon, and T loops). Lineage: Eukaryota; Metazoa; Chordata; Mammalia; Rodentia; Sciuridae. The record is from RNAcentral.